Molecule: ribosomal RNA, 268 nt
Filed under: uncultured bacterium
Lineage: Bacteria
Description: partial 16S ribosomal RNA
Rfam family: Bacterial small subunit ribosomal RNA
Source: RNAcentral
UUGCCGGCGACCGGCGGACGGGUGCGUAACGCGUAUGUAACCUACCUUUGACAGGGGGAUAACAUCGAGAAAUUGGUACUAAUACCCCAUAACAUCACCGGAGGCAUCUUCGGUGGUUGAAAACUCAGGUGGUCAGAGAUGGACAUGCGUUGUAUUAGCUAGUUGGUGAGGUAACGGCUCACCAAGGCGACGAUACAUAGGGGGACUGAGAGGUCAACCCCCCACAUUGGUACUGAGACACGGACCAAACCCCUACGGGAGGCAGCAG